UACGUAGGUGGCAAGCGUUGUCCGGAAUUAUUGGGCGUAAAGCGCGCGCAGGUGGUUCCUUAAGUCUGAUGUGAAAGCCCCCGGCUCAACCGGGGAGGGUCAUUGGAAACUGGGGAACUUGAGUGCAGAAGAGGAUAGUGGAAUUCCAAGUGUAGCGGUGAAAUGCGUAGAGAUUUGGAGGAACACCAGUGGCGAAGGCGACUGUCUGGUCUGUAACUGACACUGAGGCACGAAAGCGUGGGGAGCAAACAGG
RNAcentral lists this ribosomal RNA (253 nucleotides) under uncultured microorganism. RNAcentral's name for it is "partial 16S ribosomal RNA". It matches the Rfam family "Bacterial small subunit ribosomal RNA", at positions 524 to 776 of the family's 1533-position model. The record is from RNAcentral.